This 393-nucleotide long non-coding RNA is filed under the name Citrus sinensis (sweet orange). Its description in RNAcentral is "long non-coding RNA (CSIN_LNC003984)". Lineage: Eukaryota; Viridiplantae; Streptophyta; Magnoliopsida; Sapindales; Rutaceae. The record is from RNAcentral.
AAGAAGUGCUAGCUCAUCCUGCCACCGGAGCAUUUUGGACACAUUGUGGCUGGAAUUCGACGUUGGAAAGUAUGUGUGAAGGUGUCCCCAUGAUAUGCCAGCCUUGUCAUGGUGAGCAAAUGGUGAUUGCAAGAUAUGUUAGUGAUGUUUGGAAAGUUGGUUUGCAUUUGGAAAGGAAGCUGGAGAGAGGGGAGGUUGAAAGGGCAAUUAGAAGAGUAAUGGUGGAUGCCGAGGGGCGGGAAAUGAGGAACAGAGCUGAGAUUCUGAAGGAAAAACUGGAUCUUUGUACAAAGCAAGGCAGUUCUUCAUAUCAAUCUCUAGAAAACUUGAUUAGUUACAUUUUGUCAUACUAGAUUUUCCAAUACUUACAUCUAUCUUUCUAAUAAGGGCAGU